RNAcentral lists this long non-coding RNA (278 nucleotides) under Lathyrus oleraceus (garden pea). RNAcentral describes it as "Pisum sativum (pea) long non-coding RNA (PSAT_LNC033361)". The record is from RNAcentral. Lineage: Eukaryota; Viridiplantae; Streptophyta; Magnoliopsida; Fabales; Fabaceae.
GUCAUUUUCCUUUUCUCUUUGUAAUAUGAUCAAAAAUGCUGUACUUCUUCGUCUUGAUUAUAUUGAAUGAGAUAUUUUCCAUAAUGAAGUUAAAUGCUUUAAAAUUCAAAAAUUGCAAAUAAUACCCUAAGGGUUCCUUGAAAAUAAAACAAAGCAUAUGCACAAGCACUUCAUGCAUCAUUUUGCAUAAGCAGGUACCUUGUUUCUGGUCUUCUUGCCCUAACUCUGUGCUCUUCAUUUAUUUUGAAGACAAGCUGACUCACCGGUACUAUACUCGA